AAAUACACCGGAUGUUUGCUAAUGCGGAAGAAUCGCAGGAACUAGCGAAGAGAAUGUACGCUUAACUCGGAAACUGUAAAAAAUAGCCAUUUUGAACGAAUUAAACUGAACAUAACCACAAUUUUAACCACCUAAGCUGGGUAGAAAGUAAUGAAUGUAUUAUUCAUUUUAGCUGAAACGUUUUUCAUUAGAACAAGCUUGAUUUCUUGAUGAUGAAUAUUUUUCACUGGAUUUCAUAGCCUGCAUGAAACAACACGAAGAGGAACAUGCAGAUUGGGGGCUUUCUCUUGCUGAUUUAUUUUCAGCACAUCGGAGCAACACCCGAGAACUGUAAAAAGAAAUCGCCAUGUGAUGCUCUUGUAUGUUUUCCAACGAGGGGGUCAUCAGAACCAGCUUGCCCGUCCACCAAUCAAACAGAUCUCUGCCGAAUUGACGGAAGCUGCAUUGAGUAUAAAUGUGACGCAGCUUUAACCUGCAAUUGCAAAGAAAGUCAGGUUGAAUUGGCAGACUUAACCGAAUGCCCUAGAAAAUAUGAAGGAUUCAGUAAUGGCUCAUGGCAGUUUGGUCCUGCUGCAGGUACUGCUGCUGCUGCUGCUGCUCCUACUGCUGCUGCUGCUGUUGUUGGUCUUGCUGUUGUUGCUGCUGCCACCAUGACAAUGGAAUGCUCCUUCAGCCCAUUAUAAUUGACCCCAAGAGAACCUGCCUGCAGCAAGCUGGGGAAUCUCCACCAGGAAGGACUGGAAAUUGCAUAACCUCCCCACCCCGAAUCUACCGGGAGCAUCUCCACCAUCGAUCUCCACGGAGAGGACAAGAAGCACGUGACCUCCAUGUGAAGGACCCAAUGAAAAAAGUGGAAGGACACGGAAAUUGCGUAACCUGUAGCAAAACAUUUAUUUAAACGGAAUAUUACAUUACAUUACACUACAGGCAUUUAGCAGAUGCUCUUAUCCAGAGCGACGUACAACAAGUGCAUUAGUUCAAGGUGCAAAGGUGCAAAAGAAACACACUAGAGUGAAGUAAAGAUCGUAGUGCCAGAAGUGACCACAGAUCAGGACUCCAACCCUGUAGAGCAGGGGUGUCAACCUCAAAUACACAGUGGGCCAAAAUUUAAAACUUGAACAAAGUCCCGGGCCAACAUUGAACAAAUGAACCUUUUAAUAUGGACCCAAACAAGUUUUGCUUUAACAUUGAAUAUGGAACAAGCAACGCUUAUUACUAUACAAUAUAUAACAAUAGUGCAGACAUGCAAAAUCGAAUUUCAAAUAAAAAAACACAUCAAUGGCAUUAAUUUAUUAAAUGAAAUUUAAAUAAAAAUCGUAUGCCUCUUUUCUA
Molecule: long non-coding RNA, 1332 nt
Organism: Anguilla rostrata (American eel)
Lineage: Eukaryota; Metazoa; Chordata; Actinopteri; Anguilliformes; Anguillidae
Exons: 6
Source: RefSeq, a predicted model, not a curated record